UUUUUUUGUUCUUUUUUAUGUUUUUUUUGUAAAAUGUUUUGAUUUUUUUGUAUUUUUUUGUAYUAUUUAAAAUUUGUUUUUUGAACUGGAUUAGUACCCAGGUAAUCAAAAUUUAUUAAUUCGGGAGUAAAGUUUUGUUUAAACCGAAAAAAUAUUGACUGACUUUAGAUUUUUCUUUGGAAUAUGUGUUUUUGGAGAGCCCUCUUUUUUGGUGAAUUUUAUUGGCACAUGUAUGAUUGUUUAGUUUUUAUGUUAUUUGUGUUGCUUUUUUGUUUUUUUGCAUUUAAAACAGAUAUAUAUUUGGCUUAUAAAUUUAUUUUUCAUGUAUUACUAUUAUUAAUUUUUUUUGGAUUUAUUUUUUAUUUUGUUUUUGAAAUUGGAAAAGAAAGUAAUUUUUUCUUUAUGUGUUAAUGAAUUU
RNAcentral lists this ribosomal RNA (418 nucleotides) under Dirofilaria repens. RNAcentral's name for it is "partial 12S ribosomal RNA". Lineage: Eukaryota; Metazoa; Nematoda; Chromadorea; Rhabditida; Onchocercidae. The record is from RNAcentral.